Molecule: ribosomal RNA, 689 nt
Filed under: uncultured Bacilli bacterium
Lineage: Bacteria; Bacillati; Bacillota; Bacilli
Description: bacterial SSU rRNA
Rfam family: Bacterial small subunit ribosomal RNA
Source: RNAcentral
AACUUUCUUACACCGAAUGCUUGCAUUCAUCGUAAGAAGUUGAGUGGCGGACGGGUGAGUAACACGUGGGUAACCUGCCUAAAAGAAGGGGAUAACACUUGGAAACAGGUGCUAAUACCGUAUAUCUCUAAGGAUCGCAUGAUCCUUAGAUGAAAGAUGGUUCUGCUAUCGCUUUUAGAUGGACCCGCGGCGUAUUAACUAGUUGGUGGGGUAACGGCCUACCAAGGUGAUGAUACGUAGCCGAACUGAGAGGUUGAUCGGCCACAUUGGGACUGAGACACGGCCCAAACUCCUACGGGAGGCAGCAGUAGGGAAUCUUCCACAAUGGACGCAAGUCUGAUGGAGCAACGCCGCGUGAGUGAAGAAGGUCUUCGGAUUGUAAAACUCUGUUGUUAGAGAAGAACACGAGUGAGAGUAACUGUUCAUUCGAUGACGGUAUCUAACCAGCAAGUCACGGCUAACUACGUGCCAGCAGCCGCGGUAAUACGUAGGUGGCAAGCGUUGUCCGGAUUUAUUGGGCGUAAAGGGAACGCAGGCGGUCUUUUAAGUCUGAUGUGAAAGCCUUCGGCUUAACCGGAGUAGUGCAUUGGAAACUGGAAGACUUGAGUGCAGAAGAGGAGAGUGGAACUCCAUGUGUAGCGGUGAAAUGCGUAGAUAUAUGGAAGAACACCAGUGGCGAAAGCGGCUCU